RNAcentral lists this ribosomal RNA (460 nucleotides) under uncultured bacterium. Its description in RNAcentral is "partial 16S ribosomal RNA". It matches the Rfam family "Bacterial small subunit ribosomal RNA", at positions 338 to 795 of the family's 1533-position model. The record is from RNAcentral.
CCUACGGGUGGCUGCAGUGAGGAAUAUUGGUCAAUGGACGAGAGUCUGAACCAGCCAAGUAGCGUGAAGGAUGACUGCCCUAUGGGUUGUAAACUUCUUUUAUAAAGGAAUAAAACGAGGCACGUGUGCCUUUUUGCAUGUACUUUAUGAAUAAGGAUCGGCUAACUCCGUGCCAGCAGCCGCGGUAAUACGGAGGAUCCGAGCGUUAUCCGGAUUUAUUGGGUUUAAAGGGAGCGUAGAUGGGUUGUUAAGUCAGUUGUGAAAGUUUGCGGCUCAACCGUAAAAUUGCAAUUGAUACUGGCAGUCUUGAGUACAGUUGAGGUAGGCGGAAUUCGUGGUGUAGCGGUGAAAUGCUUAGAUAUCACGAAGAACCCCGAUUGCGAAGGCGGCUCUCUGGUCUGCAACUGACGCUGAGGCUCGAAAGCAUGGGUAGCGAACAGGAUUAGAUACCCUGGUAGUC